GUUUAAUUAUAACCUACCCGUACCGCAAACCGACACAGGUAGUCGAGGCGAGUAGCCUCAGGUGAGCGAGAGAACUCUCGUUAAGGAACUCGGCAAAAUGACCCCGUAACUUCGGGAGAAGGGGUGCUCUACAUUUGUAGAGCCGCAGUGAAUAGGCCCAAGCGACUGUUUAUCAAAAACACAGCUCUCUGCUAAAUCGUAAGAUGAUGUAUAGGGGGUGGCGCCUGCCCGGUGCUGGAAGGUUAAGAGGAGUGCUUAGCGUAAGCGAAGGUAUGAAUUGAAGCCCCAGUAAACGGCGGCCGUAACAAUAACGGUCCUAAGGUAGCGAAAUUCCUUGUCGGGUAAGUUCCGACCCGCACGAAAGGCGUAACGAUUUGGGCACUGUCUCAACGAGAGACUCGGUGAAAUUUUAGUACCUGUGAAGAUGCAGGUUACCCGCGACAGGACGGAAAGACCCCAUGGAGCUUUACUGCAAGUUGAUAUUGAGUAUCUGUUGCACAUGUACAGGAUAGGUAGGAGCCAUUGAUCUGAGGACGCUAGUUUUCAGUGAGGCGAUGUUGGGAUACUACCCUUGUGUCAUGGCUACUCUAACCCGCAUGCCUAAUCGGCAUGGGAGACAGUGUCUGCUGGGCAGUUUGACUGGGGCGGUCGCCUCCUAAAGAGUAACGGAGGCGCUCAAAGUUUCCCUCAGCAUGGUUGGAAAUCAUGCGUAGAGUGUAAAGGUAUAAGGGAGAUUGACUGCGAGACUUACAAGUCGAGCAGGUACGAAAGUAGGACUUAGUGAUCCGGUGGUACCGCAUGGAAGGGCCAUCGCUCAACGGAUAAAAGCUACCCUGGGGAUAACAGGCUUAUCUCCCCCAAGAGUUCACAUCGACGGGGAGGUUUGGCACCUCGAUGUCGGCUCGUCGCAUCCUGGGGCUGUAGUCGGUCCCAAGGGUUGGGCUGUUCGCCCAUUAAAGCGGCACGCGAGCUGGGUUCAGAACGUCGUGAGACAGUUCGGUCCCUAUCCGUCGCGGGCGUAGGAAAUUUGAGAGGAUCUGCCCUUAGUACGAGAGGACCGGGGUGGACUUACCGCUGGUGUACCAGUUGUCUUGCCAAAGGCAUCGCUGGGUAGCUAUGUAGGGAACGGAUAAACGCUGAAAGCAUCUAAGUGUGAAACCAACCUCAAGAUGAGAUUUCCCAUUCUUUAUGAAUUAAGAGCCCUGAGAGAUGAUCAGGUAGAUAGGCUAGAAGUGGAAGGACAGUGAUGUUUGGAGCGGACUAGUACUAAUAGCUCGAGGACUUUACC
RNAcentral lists this ribosomal RNA (1288 nucleotides) under metagenome. RNAcentral's name for it is "bacterial LSU rRNA". It matches the Rfam family "Bacterial large subunit ribosomal RNA", at positions 1625 to 2925 of the family's 2925-position model. The record is from RNAcentral.